This 1380-nucleotide ribosomal RNA is filed under the name Microbacterium laevaniformans. Its description in RNAcentral is "bacterial SSU rRNA". It matches the Rfam family "Bacterial small subunit ribosomal RNA". Lineage: Bacteria; Bacillati; Actinomycetota; Actinomycetes; Micrococcales; Microbacteriaceae. The record is from RNAcentral.
UGCAGUCGAACGGUGAAGCCCAGCUUGCUGGGUGGAUCAGUGGCGAACGGGUGAGUAACACGUGAGCAAUCUGCCCCUGACUCUGGGAUAAGCGCUGGAAACGGCGUCUAAUACUGGAUAUGAACCGUGGAGGCAUCUUCAACGGUUGGAAAGAUUUUUUGGUCAGGGAUGAGCUCGCGGCCUAUCAGCUUGUUGGUGAGGUAAUGGCUCACCAAGGCGUCGACGGGUAGCCGGCCUGAGAGGGUGACCGGCCACACUGGGACUGAGACACGGCCCAGACUCCUACGGGAGGCAGCAGUGGGGAAUAUUGCACAAUGGGCGCAAGCCUGAUGCAGCAACGCCGCGUGAGGGAUGACGGCCUUCGGGUUGUAAACCUCUUUUAGCAGGGAAGAAGCGAAAGUGACGGUACCUGCAGAAAAAGCGCCGGCUAACUACGUGCCAGCAGCCGCGGUAAUACGUAGGGCGCAAGCGUUAUCCGGAAUUAUUGGGCGUAAAGAGCUCGUAGGCGGUUUGUCGCGUCUGCUGUGAAAUCCCGAGGCUCAACCUCGGGUCUGCAGUGGGUACGGGCAGACUAGAGUGCGGUAGGGGAGAUUGGAAUUCCUGGUGUAGCGGUGGAAUGCGCAGAUAUCAGGAGGAACACCGAUGGCGAAGGCAGAUCUCUGGGCCGUAACUGACGCUGAGGAGCGAAAGGGUGGGGAGCAAACAGGCUUAGAUACCCUGGUAGUCCACCCCGUAAACGUUGGGAACUAGUUGUGGGGUCCAUUCCACGGAUUCCGUGACGCAGCUAACGCAUUAAGUUCCCCGCCUGGGGAGUACGGCCGCAAGGCUAAAACUCAAAGGAAUUGACGGGGACCCGCACAAGCGGCGGAGCAUGCGGAUUAAUUCGAUGCAACGCGAAGAACCUUAYCAAGGCUUGACAUAUACGAGAACGCUGCAGAAAUGUAGAACUCUUUGGACACUCGUAAACAGGUGGUGCAUGGUUGUCGUCAGCUCGUGUCGUGAGAUGUUGGGUUAAGUCCCGCAACGAGCGCAACCCUCGUUCUAUGUUGCCAGCACGUAAUGGUGGGAACUCAUGGGAUACUGCCGGGGUCAACUCGGAGGAAGGUGGGGAUGACGUCAAAUCAUCAUGCCCCUUAUGUCUUGGGCUUCACGCAUGCUACAAUGGCCGGUACAAAGGGCUSCAAUACCGUAAGGUGGAGCGAAUCCCAAAAAGCCGGUCCCAGUUCGGAUUGAGGUCUSCAACUCGACCUCAUGAAGUCGGAGUCGYUAGUAAUCGCAGAUCAGCAACGCUGCGGUGAAUACGUUCCCGGGUCUUGUACACACCGCCCGUCAAGUCAUGAAAGUCGGUAACACCUGAAGCCGGUGGCCCAACCCUUGUGG